This 1501-nucleotide ribosomal RNA is filed under the name uncultured rumen bacterium. Its description in RNAcentral is "partial 16S ribosomal RNA". It matches the Rfam family "Bacterial small subunit ribosomal RNA". The record is from RNAcentral.
AGAGUUUGAUCAUGGCUCAGGAUGAACGCUGGCGGCGUGCCUAACACAUGCAAGUCGAACGGGGUGUUGACGCCGUUGAAGCUUCGGCAGAGACAUGUUAACACUUAGUGGCGGACGGGUGAGUAACGCGUGGGCAACCUGCCCCGUACUGGGGGAUAGCAGUUGGAAACGACUGAUAAUACCGCAUAAGCGCACGGUGUGGCAUCACACAGUGUGAAAAACUCCGGUGGUACGGGAUGGGCCCGCGUCUGAUUAGAUAGUUGGUGAGGUAACGGCUCACCAAGUCAGCGAUCAGUAGCCGGCCUGAGAGGGCGGACGACCACAUUGGGACUGAGACACGGCCCAAACUCCUACGGGAGGCAGCAGUGGGGAAUAUUGCACAAUGGGGGAAACCCUGAUGCAGCGACGCCGCGUGAGUGAAGAAGUAUUUCGGUAUGUAAAGCUCUAUCAGCAGGGAAGAAAGGCCCGCAAGGGAGAUGACGGUACCUGACUAAGAAGCUCCGGCUAAAUACGUGCCAGCAGCCGCGGUAAUACGUAUGGAGCAAGCGUUAUCCGGAUUUACUGGGUGUAAAGGGAGCGCAGACGGACACGCAAGUCUGAAGUGAAAACCCACGGCUCAACUGUGGGCCUGCUUUGGAAACUGCGUAUCUAGAGUGCCGGAGGGGCAAGCGGAAUUCCUAGUGUAGCGGUGAAAUGCGUAGAUAUUAGGAGGAACACCGGUGGCGAAGGCGGCUUGCUGGACGGUAACUGACGCUGAGGCACGAAAGCGUGGGGAUCAAACAGGAUUAGAUACCCUGGUAGUCCACGCAGUAAACGAUGAUAACUAACCGCUGGUCUUUUGUGGUUCAGUGGCCAAGCGAAAGCGAUAAGUUAUCCACCUGGAGAGUACGACCGCAAGGUUGAAACUCAAAGGAAUUGACGGGGGCCCGCACAAGCGGAGGAACAUGUGGUUUAAUUCGAUGAUACGCGAGGAACCUUACCCGGGCUCGAACGGCAGGUGAAGAGAUCCAGAGAUGGUGACGUCCUUCGGGACACCUGUCGAGGUGCUGCAUGGUUGUCGUCAGCUCGUGCCGUGAGGUGUCGGCUUAAGUGCCAUAACGAGCGCAACCCUUGCCAUUAGUUACCAGCAUGCAGUGAUGGGGACUCUAGUGGGACUGCCACCGCAAGGUGUGAGGAAGGGGGGGAUGACGUCAAAUCAGCACGGCCCUUACGUCCGGGGCGACACACGUGUUACAAUGGGAGUUACAGAGGGGCACUACCUUGUGAGAGGAUGGGAAUCUCGAAAAGCUCUCUCAGUCCGGGUCGGAGUCUGCAACUCGACUCCGUGAAGCUGGAUUCGCUAGUAAUCGCGCAUCAGCCAUGGCGCGGUGAAUACGUUCCCGGGCCUUGUACACACCGCCCGUCAAGCCAUGAAAGUCUGGGGCGCCUGAAGUUCGUGACCGCGAGGAGCGACCUAGGGCGAAACAGGUAAUUGGGGCUAAGUCGUAACAAGGUAACCGUA